AGAACGAACGCUGGCGGCAUGCCUAACACAUGCAAGUCGAACGAGACCUUCGGGUCUAGUGGCGCACGGGUGCGUAACGCGUGGGAAUCUGCCCUUGGGUUCGGGAUAACAGUUGGAAACGACUGCUAAUACCGGAUAAUGACUUCGGUCCAAAGAUUUAUUGCCCAGGGAUGAGCCCGCGUAGGAUUAGCUAGUUGGUGAGGUAAAGGCUCACCAAGGCGACGAUCCUUAGCUGGUCUGAGAGGAUGAUCAGCCACACUGGGACUGAGACACGGCCCAGGACUCCUACGGGAGGCAGCAGUGGGGAAUAUUGGGCAAUGGGCGAAAGCCUGAUCCAGCAAUGCGCGUGAGUGAUGAAGGCCUUAGGUGUAAAGCUACUUUACCGGGAUGAUAAUGACAGUACCGGAGAAUAACGCCCGGACUAACUCCGACGCCAGCAGCCGC
Molecule: ribosomal RNA, 444 nt
Filed under: uncultured soil bacterium
Lineage: Bacteria
Description: bacterial SSU rRNA
Rfam family: Bacterial small subunit ribosomal RNA
Source: RNAcentral